CGGGCCUUGUACACACCGCCCGUCACACCAUGGGAGUUGGUUUUACCCGAAGGUAGUGCGCUAACCGCAAGGAGGCAGCUAACCACGGUAGGGUCAGCGACUGGGUG
This 107-nucleotide ribosomal RNA is filed under the name uncultured bacterium. Its description in RNAcentral is "partial 16S ribosomal RNA". It matches the Rfam family "Bacterial small subunit ribosomal RNA", at positions 1375 to 1482 of the family's 1533-position model. The record is from RNAcentral.